RNAcentral lists this ribosomal RNA (274 nucleotides) under uncultured bacterium. RNAcentral's name for it is "partial 16S ribosomal RNA". It matches the Rfam family "Bacterial small subunit ribosomal RNA", at positions 523 to 796 of the family's 1533-position model. The record is from RNAcentral.
AUACGGAGGGUGCAAGCGUUAUCCGGAAUCAUUGGGUUUAAAGGGUCCGCAGGCGGAUUAAUAAGUCAGUGGUGAAAUCCUCUCGCUCAACGAGAGAACUGCCAUUGAAACUGUUAGUCUUGAAUUCGGUCGAAGUAGGCGGAAUGUGUCAUGUAGCGGUGAAAUGCAUAGAUAUGACACAGAACACCGAUAGCGAAGGCAGCUUACUAGACCUGGAUUGACGCUCAUGGACGAAAGCGUGGGGAGCGAACAGGAUUAGAUACCCGUGUAGUCC